UGUAGUCAUAUGCUUGUCUCAAAGAUUAAGCCAUGCAUGUCUAAGUAUAAACACCUUUGUACUGUGAAACUGCGAAUGGCUCAUUAAACCAGUUAUAGUUUAUUUGAUGGUGCUUACUACAUGGAUAACCGUGGUAAUUCUAGAGCUAAUACAUGCGCAAAAGACCCGACUGUUUGGGAGGGUUGUAUUUAUUAGAUAAAAAACCAAUCGGCUUCGGCUGUUCUCGGUGACUCAUAAUAACUGUGCGAAUCGCAUGGCCUUGUGCCGGCGACGAAUCAUUCAAAUUUCUGCCCUAUCAACUUUCGAUGGUAAGGUAUUGGCUUACCAUGGUUGCAACGGGUAACGGGGAAU
RNAcentral lists this ribosomal RNA (351 nucleotides) under uncultured fungus. RNAcentral describes it as "bacterial SSU rRNA". It matches the Rfam family "Eukaryotic small subunit ribosomal RNA", at positions 21 to 370 of the family's 1831-position model. Lineage: Eukaryota; Fungi. The record is from RNAcentral.